UCAAAACUCCAAGAAGGCUCAUUAGAUUCAACACCGACAUGUUCACUGUGGCUUCCUUUAGCAUGGGGUGAGACAUCAUUGAUACCAAACUCCGUAGAGUGAGAUGGACUUUCAAAAACAUUUCUUCCAGGGCUUCCUGAAGGACUCCUUCCUAAUCCUUCUUCACCCUGGUCAUAGGCUGAUUCAGUUUCAUUUAUCUGGUCACCAAUACUAUAAAGCUUCCCCUUCUUGUCAGCAACCGGAGAAAACUCAUCCGACACUUUAUCACUCCAAGACGAGGGAGACUUAGGUUUUACAGUGGACACAUCAUCAUCAAAAUCAACUGUAAAAUCCUUCACAAUCGCAAAUCCUUCAUCUUCAAAUUUAUCCCAGUCUUCAUUCCACUCAGCCGCUCCUUCUUGUAUGCCAGGUUGCCAACCAAAUGGGAGCUCGAUCAUUGCAGCUGGCUUAACAUGCAAUCCAAAGUGUUUGGAUCGUUCAUUCAAUGCUUUCAUUAGCUCCUCCAAAUCAGAUUGUAUUCGAUCAGCCCGAACCUGAAGCAAGCCAUCAGCACUUCCACCUUGUUGCAUUUUGACUAUUGCG
Molecule: unclassified non-coding RNA, 582 nt
Filed under: Hevea brasiliensis (rubber tree)
Lineage: Eukaryota; Viridiplantae; Streptophyta; Magnoliopsida; Malpighiales; Euphorbiaceae
Source: RNAcentral